Molecule: long non-coding RNA, 1467 nt
Organism: Anolis carolinensis (green anole)
Lineage: Eukaryota; Metazoa; Chordata; Lepidosauria; Squamata; Anolidae
Exons: 3
Source: RefSeq, a predicted model, not a curated record
AGUGCUCCUGUUUCAAAUUUGGGGCAUGGCUUGGAUGAAAGUUCUCUCUCACUUCAGUUUGAUCUGGGAGAGAAGCAAUUAGCAGAGAAAAGCUGGUCAAAAACUGCCUACAAGAGGAAUGGUGAGAAUGGACCAGGAUAAACAAACUGAGAAUUUUGGAAAAUAAAAAAUAAAGACUUUUUAAAGUCAGGUGGAACAGAGAUUUGCAGAACCAGAAAGAUGAGCCAGAUCUGCAGGAUAAAUGAAGCAGCAUGGGGCCAGCUCCUACCGUUACCUGCAUAUUGUGAGUUUGUUCUUACUGAGAAAGGAAGAGAGAUACCAAGUUCAACACAGAAUCACCGCAAACAAGAUGAAGAAGAGGAACUGGUCAGCCACACCUGCAGCAUCACUUACCCAGUGAAUCCAAUUCCUCCUUCUCUUCCUAAUGUGCCACAGGUUCCUGUUUCUCCCAGUACUUCUCUAAGCAAAACAGAUUCACAGAACACAGGAAGAGGAGCCAGAUCUGUGGGUUUCCUAGCCUUUUGAAACCUAAAAACGGAAGUAAGCUUUCCGCAGAACAAGAUUCUCCAACUGCAGAAGGAAGAAAAAUAUUGGUUGCAUUAUGACGAAUGGAAGCAGAUGGAGAGAACAGAAUUCCAAGGCAAAAAGGAGCUUGGUGCUGGACCAGGAUCUUUAUCCAAGAAAUCUGAAGGUUUACCACCCACUGAUUUUGCAAUAUGGAUACCAGAAGAGAUGUGCUUAUAUAGCAGCUGCACUUCAUAAAGUUUUCCUUCUGCUUGCAUGCUUUAUGAAAUCUCCCUUGAACUGAAACAAAUUAUACAUCCAUCUUUGCUACAGAAGUCUGUACUGGCAAGGAAAAGAGUCCAAAAUACAAAGAGUAUAUCAACAGAUUACACCUAUUUUAUUUCAUGUGUUGCUUUGGUUGCUUUGGCAGAUUACUAUGGGUGAUAUGGUGUUCCAUCCUUACAGUCACUAAAUAAAAAGACUGAUUAAUUUUAAUUAUAUAUUUAAGUAAUUAUAAUUAUUUAACAGCAGUUCAUUUUAAGCUUUAUCAUUCUUUGAUCCCAGAACUCCAUGACCCAAACUGUCAGCAAGUCUGCAAUUAACCAAAGUUUUCUAUUACAUCCAAACUAGUUACCAGGUUGAGAUUAAAACAGGAUUUAAAAUCAUAAUCAGAAGUUGCUGUAAAAUACUGGUUCAUUUUGUAUUUUGCAAGCACAGUUUCUCGUUUUGGACAUUACAGACCAGUGGUUCUUAACCUAUGGGUCCCCACGUGUUUUGGCCCACAUCUCCCAGAAAUCCCAGCCAGUUUACCAGUUGUUAGGAUUUCUGGGAAUUGAAGGCCAAAACAUCUGGGGACCCACACGUUGAGAACCACUGUUAUAGAUAAAUGAAAACCAUGCAUGAGGAGUAAUGUUACAUGAAGAUGCACUACUGACUUUUAAUGCCAUUUUAAAUACUUACAAG